ACUUCGGGCGACGAUGACCGGGAAGAGCGCAGCCGGGGCCGCGCCACGGCCCCUCGCCCCUGUGCCGGCGACUGUGCGACUCCGCAGUCCCCUGACCUCUGGCACAGCUGUGGGGACAGAACAGGGGAGAUGUGGGUCCUGCCCAGGGGGUCACAGCUAACCACAGAGGGCCUUGAGUGGGCUGGGCCACUGCCGCCACAGCUACUCAGGAGGCUGAAAUCUGAGGAUCGAGGUUCAA
Molecule: long non-coding RNA, 238 nt
Organism: Dipodomys spectabilis (banner-tailed kangaroo rat)
Lineage: Eukaryota; Metazoa; Chordata; Mammalia; Rodentia; Heteromyidae
Exons: 3
Source: RefSeq, a predicted model, not a curated record